This 287-nucleotide ribosomal RNA is filed under the name uncultured bacterium. Its description in RNAcentral is "partial 16S ribosomal RNA". It matches the Rfam family "Bacterial small subunit ribosomal RNA", at positions 333 to 637 of the family's 1533-position model. The record is from RNAcentral.
CUGCCCCUACGGGACGCAGCAGUGGGGAAUAUUGCACAAUGGGGGAAACCCUGAUGCAGCGACGCCGCGUGAGUGAAGAAGUAUUUCGGUAUGUAAAGCUCUAUCAGCAGGGAAGAAAAUGACGGUACCUGACUAAGAAGCCCCGGCUAACUACGUGCCAGCAGCCGCGGUAAUACGUAGGGGGCAAGCGUUAUCCGGAUUUACUGGGUGUAAAGGGAGCGUAGACGGCAGCGCAAGUCUGGAGUGAAAUGCAGGGGAGCAACCCCGGAACUGCUUUGAAAACUGUG